CCAAUAGCGUAUAUUAAAGUUGUUGCAGUUAAAAAGCUCGUAGUUGAAUUUCGGGAUUGGCGCAUCGGUCGUGCCUUACGGGGUAUGAACUGGUGCAGUCAAUUUCUCACCUUCUGGAGAACCGCGAUGUCCUUAAUUGGGUGCCGCGGGGAACCAGGACCUUUACUUUGAAAAAAUUAGAGUGUUUAAAGCAGGCAUUUUUGCUUGAAU
Molecule: ribosomal RNA, 210 nt
Filed under: uncultured Entrophospora
Lineage: Eukaryota; Fungi; Glomeromycota; Glomeromycetes; Entrophosporales; Entrophosporaceae
Description: uncultured Claroideoglomus partial small subunit ribosomal RNA
Rfam family: Eukaryotic small subunit ribosomal RNA
Source: RNAcentral